This 428-nucleotide ribosomal RNA is filed under the name uncultured bacterium. Its description in RNAcentral is "bacterial SSU rRNA". It matches the Rfam family "Bacterial small subunit ribosomal RNA", at positions 504 to 930 of the family's 1533-position model. The record is from RNAcentral.
UGUGUCAGCAGCCGCGGUAAUACGUAGGUGGCAAGCGUUGUCCGGAAUUACUGGGCGUAAAGGGCGUGUAGGCGGCCUUUUAAGUCAGACGUGAAAUCUCCAGGCUUAACCUGGAAACUGCGUUUGAAACUGGAGGGCUUGAGGACCGGAGAGGGUAGUGGAAUUCCCAGUGUAGCGGUGAAAUGCGUAGAUAUUGGGAGGAACACCAGUGGCGAAGGCGACUGCCUGGACGGCACCUGACGCUGAGGCGCGAAAGCUAGGGGAGCAAACGGGAUUAGAUACCCCGGUAGUCCUAGCCGUAAACGAUGGGUACUAGGUGUGGGAGGUAUCGACCCCUUCCGUGCCGCAGUUAACACAAUAAGUACCCCGCCUGGGGAGUACGGCCGCAAGGUUGAAACUCAAAGGAAUUGACGGGGGCCCGCACAAGC